UACGAAGGGGGCUAGCGUUGCUCGGAAUGACUGGGCGUAAAGGGCGCGUAGGCGGAUGGCACAGUCAGAUGUGAAAUUCCCGGGCUUAACCUGGGGGCUGCAUUUGAUACGUGUUGUCUUGAGUUCGGAAGAGGGUCGUGGAAUUCCCAGUGUAGAGGUGAAAUUCGUAGAUAUCGGGAGGAACACCAGUGGCGAAGGCGGUUACCUGGUCCUGCACUGACGCUGAUGCACGAAAGCUGGGGGAGCAAACGGG
This 253-nucleotide ribosomal RNA is filed under the name uncultured bacterium. RNAcentral describes it as "partial 16S ribosomal RNA". It matches the Rfam family "Bacterial small subunit ribosomal RNA", at positions 524 to 776 of the family's 1533-position model. The record is from RNAcentral.